This 404-nucleotide ribosomal RNA is filed under the name uncultured Chloroflexota bacterium. RNAcentral's name for it is "bacterial SSU rRNA". It matches the Rfam family "Bacterial small subunit ribosomal RNA", at positions 355 to 776 of the family's 1533-position model. The record is from RNAcentral. Lineage: Bacteria; Bacillati; Chloroflexota.
UCGGGAAUUUUGCGCAAUGGACGAAAGUCUGACGCAGCAACGCCGCGUGAGGGAUGACGGCCUUCGGGUUGUAAACCUCUUUUGUCAGGGAAGAUGAUGACGGUACCUGGCGAAUAAGCCACGGCUAACUACGUGCCAGCAGCCGCGGUAAUACGUAGGUGGCAAGCGUUGUCCGGAUUUACUGGGCGUAAAGAGCGCGCAGGCGGUCGUUCAAGUCGCGUGUGAAAGCCCCCGGCUCAACUGGGGAGGGUCACGCGAUACUGAUCGACUCGAAGGCAGGAGAGGGUAGUGGAAUUCCCGGUGUAGUGGUGAAAUGCGUAGAUAUCGGGAGGAACACCAGUGGCGAAGGCGACUACCUGGCCUGUUCUUGACGCUGAGGCGCGAAAGCUAGGGGAGCAAACGGG